Molecule: long non-coding RNA, 246 nt
Organism: Suricata suricatta (meerkat)
Lineage: Eukaryota; Metazoa; Chordata; Mammalia; Carnivora; Herpestidae
Exons: 3
Source: RefSeq, a predicted model, not a curated record
CAGGAGGCUGGUCUGGACUGCUACGAGAGAUCAGCAAAGGGCCCUGGGGCCUGGCCUGCUGGUGCCAGUGCCUGACUGACUUGCCUACUGAGCAAUAUGAAUACAAAGAUGGAGCCUAACAUUCCCAGCAGGGACCUAUAUGCCUGUUCGAUGGAUGCAGUGGCUCAAUCGUGGUCAGAACAGAAUGAAGAGGAAAAGAAAUAAAAGGCAGGCCACGGUGGAAGGGCAGUAAACGACCAAAAUGCC